RNAcentral lists this ribosomal RNA (459 nucleotides) under uncultured bacterium. RNAcentral describes it as "partial 16S ribosomal RNA". It matches the Rfam family "Bacterial small subunit ribosomal RNA", at positions 338 to 795 of the family's 1533-position model. The record is from RNAcentral.
CCUACGGGAGGCAGCAGUGAGGAAUAUUGGUCAAUGGCCGAGAGGCUGAACCAGCCAAGUCGCGUGAGGGAAGACGGCCCUACGGGUUGUAAACCUCUUUUGUCGGGGAGCAAAGCGAACCACGUGUGGUUCAUUGAGAGUAACCGAAGAAAAAGCAUCGGCUAACUCCGUGCCAGCAGCCGCGGUAAUACGGAGGAUGUGAGCGUUAUCCGGAUUUAUUGGGUUUAAAGGGUGAGCAGGCGGAGGUGCAAGUCAGCGGUCAAAUUGCGGGGCGCAACCCCGUACUGCCGUUGAAACUGCAUCCCUUGAGUGCGCGUGAUGUAUGCGGACUGCGUGGUGUAGCGGUGAAAUGCAUAGAUAUCACGCAGAACUCCGAUUGCGAGGGCAGCAUACCGGCGCGCAACUGACGCUCAUGCACGAAAGCGUGGGUAUCGAACAGGAUUAGAUACCCCUGUAGUC